Molecule: unclassified non-coding RNA, 196 nt
Filed under: uncultured fungus
Lineage: Eukaryota; Fungi
Description: sequence contains ITS1
Source: RNAcentral
UUAACUUAUUAUAUAGUACUCAGACGACACAUAACACAAAAUUUAGGGGCUUUCGGCAGGCACGACGCGGGCGAACCCGGACGCCCCAUGGUGAGGGCAACCUGCCAAAGCAACAAUAGUAAUUAAACAGGGUGGGAGGUCUACCCCGAAGGGCAUGAUCUCUGUAAUGAUCCUUCCGCUGGUUCACCAACGGAAA